GCCACCGUAGUAUAUCGGUUAGUAUGCGCCCCUGUCACGGGCGCGGGCCGGGUUCAACUCCCGGCGGUGGCG
RNAcentral lists this transfer RNA (72 nucleotides) under Candidatus Iainarchaeum sp. Its description in RNAcentral is "tRNA-Asp". It matches the Rfam family "tRNA". Rfam says of the family: Transfer RNA (tRNA) molecules are approximately 80 nucleotides in length. Lineage: Archaea; Nanobdellati; Candidatus Iainarchaeota; Candidatus Iainarchaeia; Candidatus Iainarchaeales; Candidatus Iainarchaeaceae. The record is from RNAcentral.